AUGGUUGGUUCCAGUUCUAAUACUACUCCUGACCGUGACAUAAUAAUUGAGCCAAAGAUGAGUAAGCUGAAACGAGUAUCCUAUGUUCAUCCGAAGUUUAUGGCACUCCAAUAUCCGCUUUUGUUUCCGAAUGGAGAAGAUGGCUACCAUGACAAAAUUCCAUUUAAUAGCGCUGAUCCUGAUAAUCUAAGUGAUCCUUUGACACCUAGGCUUGGUGGUAGGCUCUUUCAACAACACAUUGUUGAUGCAUUCUCCUCCAUUGAGCAAACACGGUUAUGGUGGUUCAGGAAAAACCAGACCAUAUUAAGGAAUGAACUUUAUAGCCAUAUCUGUGAUUCUGUACGCAAUGGAAAUGCUAAUCCAGCUGAUGUUGGAAAAGGAGUAAUUCUACCUUCAGGCUUUGUCGGAUCAAAGAGGUACAUGCAACAGAAUUUUCAAGACGCUUUGGCGGUUUGUAGACAUGUUGGUCAUCCAGAUGUUUUCCUAACGAUGACUUGCAAUCCUUUGUGGGAUGAAAUUCAAAAGAUGAUGCAAUUGGUACCUGGUUGCGAGACAGAAAACUCACCAGAUAUUAUAUCUCGAGUUUUCCGAUUGAAACUUGAUCAACUAACAACUGACAUUAAGAAGAAUGGCCAUUUUGGUGUUUGUGUUGGAGUUAUGUACGUGGUUGAGUUCCAGAAGAGAGGUCUUCCGCACGUUCACAUGCUCAUAUGGCUUGACAGCGCAUCGAAGAAAUAUCUUAAGAAUAACGUGGACAAAUUUGUGUCAGCAGAAAUACCUGAUCCGGUUAAAGAUCCCGUUGGCUAUGCAGCAGUCAAAGCCUUUAUGAUACAUGGCCCAUGUGGCCUUCAAAAUCCUAAAUCUCCCUGCAUGAAAGGCAUGAAAUGUAUCCGGCAUUUUCCCAAAAAGUACUGCCCAAGAACUAUGUUUGAUGAGAGCGGUUUCCCACUAUACAAACGGCGUCGACAAAACAUCACUGUCAAAGUUCGCAAUGCGGAGUUGGAUAACCAGUGGGUAGUGCCUUAUAACAGAGAUUUAUUAGUCAAGUACCAAUGCCAUAUGAAUAUUGAAAUCUGCUGUCAUGCUCGAAGCCUUAAAUAUUUAUUCAAAUAUUGCUUGAAAGGGCAUGAUACAGCAACUGUUCAUGUCACUGGUAGGAAGCGAACAUCAUCCAAUGUAAAUCCUAAUGAGCCUGUAGAUGAAAUUCAGGCUUACUUUGACGGGAGGUACAUAUGUGGUGCUGAGUCUGCUUAUAGGAUUUUCGGGUUCCCUAUACACCACCGCACUAUCUCUGUGGAGCGUUUACCAUUUCAUUUGCCCGGACAGAAGAAUUGUACCUUCUCCUCCAGCCAGCCUUUACAGAAAGUUGCAGAGAAGGAAAAAGACAAGCUAAGCAAGCUCGAAGCUUUUUUUCUGCUGUGUGCUUUCGAUACUAAUGCCAGGAAAUGUACAUACCAGCAAAUCCCAGAGCACUAUGUCUGGAAUGAUGGUCAGAGGAGAUGGAAUCCAAGAAAGAGAGGUUUUCAAAUUGGACGUUUAUCAUACACGCAUCAUAGUAGUGGUGAAGUAUGGUUCAUGCGUUUGCUCCUCACAAAGGUUUGUGGUCCAACAUCAUUUAAAAGUCUGAGAACAGUUAAUGGUGUAUGUCAUGCGACUUUUCGCGAUGCCUGCAAGGACUAUGGUUUGCUUGAUGAUGACAAAGAGUGGCAUGAGGUUAUACAGCAAUGUGCAAAUGGUGGUUUACCACCACAGAUAAGACAACUAUUUGUGCACAUAAUAGUAAAUUGCAAGGUCACAGAUUUAUUACAUCUGUGGAAUUCCCAUUGGAAACACAUGGUUGAAGACAUUUUACUUAAACGUCGUCAACUAGCCAAGGAUGAUAACCUCAUGCUUAGUGAGAAGCAGGUCCAAUUUUAUGCUCUUGCAGAAAUAGAUGAUUUGCUCAGAUCAAUAGGGAAGUCAUUGAAGAAUUUCCCACAAUUACCACAACCUCCAAGCUCAUAUUUAAACCAUGGUUCCAACAACUUGAUUAUAGAAGAAACCAGUUACAAUAUUGCUGAGAUGAAAGCCGAGAAUGAAAAAUUGUUGGAAACAAUGAAUGAAGAACAAAGUCAUGUGUACAAUGCUAUACUGCAUUCUGUUCAUAACAAAGAAGGUGGACUUUUUUUUGUAUAUGGAAGUGGUGGAUGUGGUAAGACGUAUUUGUGGAGGUCUUUGAUAUCAAAGCUAAGGUCAGAAGGAGAGAUUGUUCUUCCAGUCGCCUCUUCUGGCAUUGCAGCUACGUUAUUGCCUGGUGGUCGCAUCGCGCAUUCACGUUUCAAGAUUCCUAUUGUCCUUGAUGAAUUCUCACUAUGCGGUAUAGGUCAGAAUUCUGACAUUGCAGAGCUUAUCAGAAAAACAAGACUUAUUAUCUGGGACGAAGCCCCUAUGCAACAUAGAUUUGCAUUUGAAUGUUUGGAUCGGUCACUUCGAGAUAUAAUGAAAGUUGUUGAUCCAAUACAUGCCUCACAGCCUUUUGGAGGGAUAACAGUACUUUUGGGAGGCAAUUUUAGACAGAUUCUCCCAGUCAUUCCACAAGGUGAUCGAAGUCAAAUUCUGUCUGCGUGCAUUACUAGAUCUCGAUUGUGGAAUAUUUGUACAAUUUUUCUUCUGAAGAGAAACAUGCGGCUUAACAAGGGUAAUUCCCAGCAAGAAAUUGACGAACUAAAUGCUUUUGCGCAAUGGGUUCUGGACAUUGGUGAUGGAAAAUUUUCAGGGUCAACUCUCGCAGGAGGUCCUGACAUGUUAGAAGAUGAUAUCUUAGUCCCAGGUCAAUUCUGUGAUAUGGAUAGAGAGAAUUCUGUUGAAAAUAUGAUCAAAACAAUAUAUCCAGAUUUUGUCAACAAUUGUGGAAAUGCAAAGUAUUUGAGUGAGAGGGCAAUAUUGACACCUACUAACCAAACAGUAGGUCACCUUAAUUCUCAAAUAGUUGAUAUGAUUCCAGGCGAGUCUGUUACUUACUAUAGUGUCGACAGUGCUGAAGAAUUCGCUGGGAAUGACAGUGAUCUACAUUAUGCUUUUCCUAUAGAGUACCUAAACUCAAUGAAUCUCCCUGGAAUGCCGCUUCAUGACCUCAAACUGAAGGUUGGUGCUGUUGUAAUGCUGAUGCGGAAUCUUAAUCAGACUCUAGGACUUUGCAACAGAACUAGGAUGGUUGUCACAAAGUGUCUCAAAUUCUGCGUUGAGUGUGCGGUAAUAUGCGGAUCUUUUGUUGGUACUAAACACUUCAUUCCAAGGAUGGAAUUAUGUCCUAGCGAUACUAGGAUGCCUUUUAAGUUGGUUAGGAAGCAGAUGCCGCUUCAGAUUUGAUACGCGAUGACCAUCAACAAGUCACAAGGACAAUCACUUCAAACUGUUGGCCUUUAUCUUCCUAAACCAGUUUUUACGCAUGGCCAGUUUUAUGUUGCCAUAAGCCGGGUAACAUCUCCAUCUGGGUUGAAUGUUUUUAUUGAUGAUGAAAGUGGUUGCACCACAGAUUUAACACAGAAUGUAGUGUAUAAGGAGGUUUUCUAUGCUCUGCCAAAAACUUAA
This is an RNA transcript of Daucus carota subsp. sativus, 3570 nucleotides long. RefSeq lists it as uncharacterized. The transcript is spliced from 5 exons. The record is from RefSeq and is a predicted model, not a curated record. Lineage: Eukaryota; Viridiplantae; Streptophyta; Magnoliopsida; Apiales; Apiaceae.